ACGUAGUGGUACGCGGGGAAGGGAGAGAGGUUAGGGAGGAACGGAAAAAAGUUGAGGCUUUCAUCACCGUCGCCGCCGUCAAGGAUGAGGGAUCCACUGACGGCGGCGUCGUCAUCGAAGCGGCGGGAGUGGAAGCAGUAGGAGAAGCGGUCGAGCCGUAGCUGCGUUGGGAAGGAUAGGGCGCCGCAGCAGAAGGCGGUGAAGCCGGUGGGGGGUGGAGAGGAGGCAGUAGGAGCAUCCGAUGAUGAAUCCGGGGACGGAUCGUGUAAUAUACCAAAAAUUCGGAAAAUA
This 291-nucleotide long non-coding RNA is filed under the name Ananas comosus (pineapple). Its description in RNAcentral is "long non-coding RNA (ACOM_LNC036866)". Lineage: Eukaryota; Viridiplantae; Streptophyta; Magnoliopsida; Poales; Bromeliaceae. The record is from RNAcentral.